Molecule: ribosomal RNA, 254 nt
Filed under: uncultured bacterium
Lineage: Bacteria
Description: partial 16S ribosomal RNA
Rfam family: Bacterial small subunit ribosomal RNA
Source: RNAcentral
UACGUAGGGGGCGAGCGUUGUCCGGAUUUAUUGGGCGUAAAGAGCUCGUAGGCGGCUCGGUAAGUCGGAUGUGAAACCUCCAGGCUCAACCUGGAGACGCCAUCUGAUACUGCCGUGGCUUGAGUCCGGUAGAGGAGCAGGGAAUUCCUGGUGUAGCGGUGAAAUGCGCAGAUAUCAGGAGGAACACCAGCGGCGAAGGCGCUGCUCUGGGCCGGUACUGACGCUCAUGCACGAAAGCGUGGGGAGCAAACAGG